Molecule: non-coding RNA, 12142 nt
Organism: Lonchura striata (white-rumped munia)
Lineage: Eukaryota; Metazoa; Chordata; Aves; Passeriformes; Estrildidae
Source: RefSeq, a predicted model, not a curated record
UGCACCAGGGCCAAAUCGACCCCUGGUGUAAACUUUCGGUGAGCAGGGUUGGAUCCUUGCUCUCCGCAUGGGGGAAAGCCCGUAGGGUGCAGACAGCUGGGAACACGCCUGUUGGGCAUUCUGUGGGGUCAGCAUAUCCCAGAGCUCUUCCCCCCCAUCCUCUCCCCUUCCCCAUUCCUGUCCCAUGCCUCAGUCCAAGCCUCAGGCACAAGCCAGUGGGGGACAGGGAGGGGGACCAGGCUUGUGAGAUGGCUGGGAACCUACCAACACCUGCCUGCAGCUCCCUUGCCAUUCUCCUCACGUCCCCAUCCCCUGAAAGGAUUGAUGCAUCUGCCUUUGAGCUGUUGUGAAAUGCAGAGGCUGAAGAAUAGCUCCACAGGCAGCCCCGGGAGGAGGGGGGAAGGAGGGGAAGGUGCCUCCAGGAGCAGACGGCUCAGCGGAUGGCCGCAGCGGCCAGCCUUGCAUCCCAAUGAGGAGAAAGGCCUGACAGGCAGCAACAGGGGGUGGUGGGGACAGGGAGGGAGAGACAGCAGCAUCCUCACUAUGGCCGAUCUCCCCGGAGCAGAAAAUAAUCCUGACCUGGGGAGACACUCAGUCAGAUGCUGAAUCCUGCCUCUCCGGACUGGGCUGAAAUUACAGAACCUUUCUGGGCCUUUUUGUCAUACGGAUUAUGGAGGAUGAGGGGGAACCUCAGCUUGGCAGCUGCUCUCAGGAGGCAGGGAACGGGCGGCACAGGCAUUGUCAAGGCAAUUUUGAGAAGGCAACAACUGCCAGCACAAAAAUAGCCUGCUCAGAUGUGGCACUUGUGGAAGGCAAUGCAGAUGGGGGAAGAGGAGACAGAGAAGGGAUCUUGGCUCCUUCCCCAUGGCCAGAGUGAUAUUCAUGUCCAGGAUGCAAGGGCAGCUAGGUGACUGGUUAUGGUUUGCACUGAAAGUGAAGGUCUUGCAUCCUCUCCCCAUGCCCCAUGUCUCCUGACAGUCAAUGUCCCUCGCUCAUGGCACUGGCAUGACCUGUCUGAUGUUUCAGAUAGAAAAGGAGGAUUGUGGUGGCAACAGCAGCUAUGCGUUUAUUCUGUGUCUGUGCAAUGUGGAGUGAGAGCCUGGGGUGGGAGAUGGUGGGUGGCAGUAGCCUCAUGGGAGUGAGGACAUGACUUUGCCUGUUAGAGAGAUCUGGGCUCAUGGGACAGACUCAUGCCAGUGGGGCCUGGACAGACUGCCACGGAACAGACACCAGGUGCUCACAGCAUCACCAGAGAUGGCAUGGUCAUGGACAAGGCUGUGGGCCAGCACCAGGAGUCCACACACAGGAAUGCUGUACCAUGCUGCCUCUCCAUAGCAGAGUCUUGCUCUUUUGGAAGAGGAUAUUCUGCCUACUUACUACCAACUUUGAAAGGGGAAAAGACUGGUUAAAAGGUUGCUGCCCCCAGCCUGGUUCCCUUUGUGUGCAGGCUGCUUGGCUGAAAGGAUUGGAGAUUCAGCACAAGGAGAGAAUAAGCAAUGUCUGUUAAUUGUCCAGCAUCUCCAGGAGAAAAUCCUUUCCUGGGGCAGCCUGUCUCUUACCCCAAGUGGCUCCCAGGUACUGUUCCAGGUUGCACAAGGCCACAGUUUUGUUCAUUCCUCUCUCUCACUCCCAUGCUGUCAUUUCUUUUUUUGGCCAAUGUCAUGGGCUUUUACACUACGAAGUCGCUUACAGACACUGCUUCCCAACUGAUGAGGUUCCUUCAUCACAGCUGCACAGCAGCUACAUCCUCCCUUCCUCACUUCUUUCCUCCUUCCCCUCCUCCCCAGCACCACCACCCUGUCCCUUUCACCACCUCUUUGUGCUGUCACAACAACGAGGUGAGCUCAGGAGCCAAGUUUGACACUGAGCCUUGAUGCUGCUUGUUUAGGAUUAGUUGGCCUGUGAGGAGAGUUUAUGUGUCCCCAUAAGAUGGUAAAUGACUGAAGAAGGUGGUGAGAUGCUCAGGCUCUGGCUGCUUUGCUCUUUGCCCCACCAUGGGCAGUGACAGCCUUGGAGAAAGGUCCUUCCAUCAGAUUUAAUUGGGAACUGUUGCUCAGAAGAGUUGGAUAAGCUGCAGUUCUGUGCUGUGACAUCUGCUCUGGCCCCCUUGGCCUGUCAUUGUUGGAUGGAGGUUUGUUGGGAUCAAGGAGAAGAUGGCUUUUUGUUCAAACACAUGAUAGAAACUGCUGCAUCCCUUUUUGGCAUGACAGUUUUGGAGGGGAAGAGGGAAAGCAGCUGUGCUGCAUUCCUGGUGAACACCCUGAGACCUCAUUUCCAGAAGCACCUUUCCUGGAGCAGAAGAGAGCUUCCCAUCAGCUUGGACUGGUGAUCUUCCCUGUAGGAAGAGGGGCUCUGUGAUGGGGCUAUGCAUGAGGAGAAGAAAAGCAGAUUUUGGGGUAAACUCUCACAGAGUAUCAACAUCUGAGUGUUUGGAGUCAAAGAGAAAUGAGUUCAUGCUUUUUAUUUCUCAGAGAGAUACUUCCCUAUGCCCUGCCUCUACUCAGAGCAGAGAGCUAUCUCUGCUGCCUAGGAACAUGUCUCGCUCAGCUCUGGGGCAAGCCAGGCCAAGUUUCCAACACAUCCAGGCAGACCUUCCCAACCCCCAGCCUCUUCCAGCUGCAGUUUUCUCAAGGGACUUGUGAAAGGGAGCUGGAAGGAACACUAGUCUGAGCACAGCUGGGAAGGGGCCUUAAGGUCUUUCCUCCCUGUCCCAGCUGCAUGCUGCUCCCUAAAAAUAAAAGUUUUUUGCACCAACUCAGUCACCCAAGGGUGUCACUGAAGUGAUGCUUUCUUGGAAGUGAAGGUGUUAUUUUGGUGCAUGGUACAGGUGGAAAUUUUGUGCCAGGGCUGCAAACUGCAGGCAGUGAAUGUGGCUCCAGCCUCAGGGUCUCAUCAGUGACCUGGUUUGUUUUCUCCUGCCAUUAUUUCUUUCUACUCCAGUCUGUCAGGUUGCAAGACAGAAGCUGAAAUGUAGCAAAGGGAAGAGAUGCAGAGGUCUGCCAGGCUGAAUGUCCAUCGUCCUGCAAAACUUGCCCAUCUGGCCUUUUCAAAUGUCCCUCAGUGCAUGGAUUUUGGGAGGUGAAAAAGUCUGUACUGCCUAUCCUUGGGUCUGCCGGGUGCUGAAUUGCAGAUGGGUGGCUCUGGGACCUCUGCUGCUCAGACAAAAGUGAAAACUGUGGAAUGCCUUUAAAUGGGCUGCUUGCUUGAGAGACAUCGUUAGCUCUGAGCUGUUUGCUUGUCCCUAGGAGUGGGUGGAACAAGGUGAGAAAAUGUGUGGAGGAAUAAAAGAGCCAAGGAAAGGGAAAAGCUGGUUUUAGGAGGCAACUGAGUAUCUUGGGUUGGGAAAUCAAGACAGAUUUGGGGAGUGUGGUGUAGAAUUUUAAGUAGCACAAUGGGUACAAGCAAAAACAAAAGAAAAUAGCAACGUACUGCAGCUCCAGGACAAGUUAUCUGUGAAGCUGGGCAAAUACUGGUUUAAAAAGAAGGCAGAAACCGAUAAAAUCAAGGGACCACUUAUACAGGUGGGAAACAAAAUCACUAGGCUUUGUGCUUUUCUGUAUUUUUUUUUUUCCUGUAAGAAAAUACAACUAAAAGAAGGUCUCAAAAGUUAUGCUGUUUCAGGGGCACAGACAGAAGUAUCAUAUGAGCUGUUUCCUUUCACAUGAAAGGCUCUUACUUCACAGAACUCAAAUGUGUAGGUUUCUUUACUUCAGGAUAUGGGGUGAAGAUUGCAGACACGGUCACCACAAGCCCCCAAAGCCAGAGGUAGUUUGGAACACUUGAUCAGCAUUCCUUCAUGUGCCAGUCUGUGUGAAAACAGUUUGUUCAGCAUGUUAUCUUAAAAAGUUUGUUUUUAAAUCUUUCUAAUUUCCUCCCUCCCCAGGGAGUAUCUACAUCCUUUCCUGAUCUGGCCAGGAAUCAGCUGAAGCACUACAGCCAUGGCUUGUACCCAAUGUUUUUGUAAAAGCUCUAGGUGUGUUCUCUGGCUGUAGGGCAAUGAUGAGAAUAAGCAAGGGGAAUAAAGGAGAUCCUGGCUGUGAUACCACGCUGUGGUGGCUCCUCUGAUAGCUGGAAGGCUCUGGACAUCAACAGGCUGAGACUCACAGGCACAGGCGUGUCUUGGUAAAACAAGUUUUCUUCUCCAUUUAUGUUCAGUGGCUUUCUGAUGAAUGGUGGGCUCAUAGAGCCUUGGCAUAUGGUGGUGUGUCCAAAUGAGUUCCAAAAAUAGAAGAAGAGAAAAUCCCCCCCAUCAGUACUGCUUUUCAGGAGUGGAUAGACUUGCUUAAAUCUAAGGCAGCUUCUCCGCUCCCGCACCAAGGCGUCUCUUACAUCAGUACCCAUUUAAUAUUUACAUAGCUGCUAAAUCCUAAAAAUUCUUUUCCCUUUGUUGCUGUCCUUGAAAGUAGAGAUAUUGAGUUUCCAGCCUGGAGAAAGUAGGUGUUUUCAAAACAUCUGUUCUGGCUGGCAGUGUCAUAAAUGACACAGGCAGAGAUGUCAGUCGCUGUUCUGGGAGGAAUGGAGGAGAAUUCCAUCUCUCUUGUGCCUCUUUUUCCUUUCCAAUGCAACACUGAGCCAUGAAACUUCUCCCUGAGAGAUGUGAUUGGAGUCCUAUUGCUUGCAGUUUUGAAAAACUGAACUGUGGAAAGAGAUAAGAGACUGAAAAGAAGGAAGGACAAUAUAUUCCAGCUUUCCCCAACAGUCAAGUAAAUUGGUAGAUCACUUUCAUGUUGGAGGCUCGGGUUUCUCACAGACCCAAUCUGACAGCUCUUUCCAAAUUAAAGGAAUGACCAUUGGUUCCUCCUCUCUUCUGUUAGUCCCACAAUUUUAGCAUCUCUGAGAGGGGAAGAGGCAUCACAAAUCUAACCAUUGCUUCCCCACGCUGUCAGGAGUCCUCCACAGGAACUGCUCUCCCUCCCAGCACAAGUGACUGAUCCCACUGCUGCAAACUGGAACGUUGUUCUGAGGGGAAGUUUAACUGCAGACUUACUGGCAGCUUAGGACAAGGUCCCAGCAGGGAAGGGCUGAAAUACCUCUAAAGAAAAUCAUAGCUCUGGGCGGUCCAAAUGUCUUCUUGCAUGUUUUCUCUUGCUCUCUGCUGGCUUCCAGCCUCUUCAGUCUUUGCUGCUUGAUACUCAGAGAACUGAGUUUCUGCAUUCCCUCCCUCUACUGAGCUCAGAGGACUGGUGAAGCAGUUUGAUUUCAGUGUGGUAGGUGAGAUCAGAUUUCUCCCUCCAUGCCCUCUUCUUUUUCUCCCUGUGCAGCUCCUGUCCUUGCAGUUCUCAGGACUUCACUAGCAGAGUUUUUAAAUGAAGUGAAAGUCUUAAUGUGAGGUGAAUCCCAAGACCACAAACAGUUUGGACUUCAAACAGUGAGAAAAUUGGCGCCGGAUGAUUCCGCACACAAAGCAGAAAACUUUCAUUUCCUGCAGGCAGGAUGGAAUUGACUGUUAUAUUAAGACUUCAGAAGGAGCACUGCCCCGGAGUAAUUUCACUGCUGUCAGGCAGUGUUGACAUCUAGAUUAACCUCUGUGCAGUGAAUUUUACAGCAACGCUCAUUGUAAUGCAUGUGGGGUAUCUCCUGUAAAUCCCAGCUGAAGCCCACAGUGUCCCACCCUUCUGCACAGGAGGAAGGGGUGGGGAGCAGCUGCUAUCAUUUCUGACCCCAGCAAAGCACGACUCCAACCUCAUCCAGGCCAGUUCUGCUGAAACUGAUUUUCUGCUGUGCUAAAGUGACAAUAGCUCCAGCCUGUAUUUUUUUUCUAAUUCCCCAAAGAGGUUUACAUCACAAGGCUGAAAUUUUUGCCAGUGACAAACAGCUCCCUUCAUGUAUCCAGCCAGCAGUACAGUCCUAAUUAAAAGGCACUAGUUAACUAGAGGCAAUUAGCUGCUUGCACUGAUUAUUUCCAAGACAUACAAUCCCCCAAACACAAAGCUCUGAUCAGAUGUGAUCUAAAUGGCAGACAAACUCCCAGCUGAUGUGAGAUGGUGGCAUCCAAUCCUACUCACCAGCACACAGGCACACAAUGAACCCUGUCUACCAAACUACAAUUGCAUGAAUUAAAGAAAUUCACAGAGUUAACUCAGUGCAAGUCAGAAGACAUUGCAAAAGAAGCCCCUUGGCUCCAGAAAUGAAUGCUCCUGCUGAUAAGUUGAAAGCAUAGGCCUGACCCCAAGUCCUUCUGUCUUUUGCUGUAGGAGGAGCUUGAGCAGUGGGAUUUCCUAGUCAGGACCACAUCAGCUUCUUCACUUUUGUGCUAGCAGAGACAAUCCUGUCUGGGGUUCUUAAGAUGCAUCUCUGAGAUUAUUUAAAAAAAAACCAAAACAAAACAUGUAAAAAAUAUAGAAAAGGAAGGGAAGGUUUCUUUGUAUAGUUUUGCCACACCUGCUUAUUCAUUCACUUAUUUUCCUACUCAGACAUUGCUCUGCAGUCAUCUGCAGGAGGUUCUAGGCGAGUGAAAAUCUAUCAGGUGCUGAAGAGAUAACUACUAGCCCUAAGGGAAAAAUCCCAAUAGUACGUCUAGAAAUCUCUUUCAGAGCCCAUCUCUCCUCUCACCCACAGCUUUUCACAGUAGCCUUGCCAUUAUAUUUGACAAAGGUUUUGGACAGCCUGUGAAGAGGUGAGAUAUCUUCGGUUUCCCCUCAACUUGAGGAGGAAUUGUGACAUUUCUGUAAUUCGACCCAUCAGGAAGAUUCCUUCAAACUAACAUUUAUUACCUCCAAUCAGAAUACAGCUGAAAAGGCUACCCAGGGUUAUAGAAAAGGUCAAGCUCUUGCUUUGGACUGGAAUUUACUUUGGAAGGAAUUUGAUGGACCAAUUUAACCACCACAGCACAUCAAAACCUGGUGGCUUCAUUUAAAAAGUAAUCAGUAUUGUAUUUCGCUUUAGACAUCCGUGCAUUAGUGUUCUGCAAAUAUGAUUUCCUCUUUGUUUGCAUUAUUGAUGCCAUAAAAUGUCAGACACAUUAAAGAAAAAAAAAAGAGGCCAACCUUUGGGGUUUGGAAUGAUUCUAGCUGAAUUGCAGUUGGGUUACUUUCCUUUUUAUUUCCCAUGGCAGCGAUGCACUGUUACUCUUUCUGCUAUUGUUUUACAAAGAGUUCUCAGUAAGUGUAUUUAUUCAGCCAACCAUAUUUCAGGAAACACAUAACCUUGAUAUUUUUUCCUGUAUGUGGCAGCAUAUGUGAAUGUGUGUUGGGGAGAGGAGGGCAGGUGGAGCUUUUUACAAGAGCCCUCCCAUGUCUGGUAGUGUGUUGGCUUUGUGCAAUGCUGCAUGAAUCCCUUCUGCUCAGGUGCCUGGCUUGAUUUAACCUCAAGAACUGACUUUUGUAAUCAGGAUUUGAGGUCUUCUGGUUUAGCACUGCCCAGAAUCUGUCAUCUGCUCUCACCAUUCAGCAGCCAUCUGCUAUCCACAGAGGUUCCUAGAUGUCUAUGCCACAGAGAUUACACAGUAAUUGAGUCUCAGGCAUGCGAUACAGGAGUUUUAGCUCAUUCUGAUCCUGGACCAACAGCAAGUUUGCUGAUUUAGCUUGGUUCCCACCCAAGGUUCACUGACUACAGUUCCCAAGACAAAUACUCUUAGCUGCUCAGUGCUGUUUCUCACAGACAAUUGCAAUACAGGCCUUGGCGGCUGUAGCUCUCUGCCUCACCUCUCUAUAAUGAAUGCAGGUCCAUUUUCCAGUGAUCCUGGGAAUUUUUUUGAAGGAUAUUCUCCCUCCUAAAAUCUAAGCCAUUCUCAAAUAUUCUGUCGUUUUGAAAAGUGAAGAAAUAAGGUGGAAAUAUUUCCCCUGUGUAGAGAUUUUCAUCAGUGGUAAAAUUUCAGCUUUUCCUCCCAAUGACAGCAGGACUUGGGUGCAGGAGAAGAAUACAGUGGAGCAGUCUAAGGAAGGGUCUCAGCUAGGACUGCAAAGUCAUCUGUUCACCUACUGAGCCAUCACCUCUUCAUAGAGGAAGAGAUCUCCAGCUUUUUUUGAGCUUCAGAUUCCUGCCCAGCUCUCUUGUUCCUACACCAGUGCUGAGGAAUGACCUUCAGAUGACCCUCAGAUUUCCUAAUCUUCACAGAUCCUUCCCAGGACUAUCCAAACAGCCCAAAGAAGUGAUGACAGAGGCUGAAUGGAACAAAUCCUGGCUUAUGGCCUUCCUGGAGACUGAAAUUAAGAGGCAGAUUUAGGAGAGGUUGAGAGAGACUGGAUCCUGCUGGAUGAUGCAACAGCUUUAUAGCCCAGCACCUCUCAGUAGCAAGUGCCUGGUGUGCCCUUUCUUUUAUUUAUUUUUUAAAUUACAACCCCUAAUUGCUUCAAGUAGUGUUCACAAAGAGCCUACAGCAGUUCAGUCCCCAGUCUCCUGGUAAGAGGGAGAUUUCAGCAGACGGACAGACGGACAGCCGCGUCCCUGCGGAUCAGCACCGCGGACAGCGGCACCGCCCGCUCCGGCCGCCGCCGCGGGAGGAGCCGCGCUCCGAUGGAGAACCCCACUUCGGAAGGAAUCGUGCCCACACUGCCCGGGGAACUGCUGUCACACCCGCCGUUCGUUUCUCCUAUGUGUUUUUCCAGUGUGACAUCAUUAUAUGGUAUCUUGUUUUCAGGUGGUGGAGGAGGGAUGGUUUAAAACACAAACCAAUCAUUCCAAUGCAAGAGAGAACCAGUUUUUCCUUCAAACUCUCUGCCCCGCUUUUUCCUGCACUGGUGCUCCACCUCCGAAGGCUCCAACUCUAAUUUUGACUGUGGAAGGUUCUUAUCUUCUCAUCCAUUGAGACAGUUUGACAAAUGGAGAGAUACUAUGCUGGUAGCUCUUUAGAAAGAGAAUCCUUAUUUUAUUGGAAGCAUCAUGUGAUUCAGAUUUCAUCCAUCAAUUGCAUUUACUGUUGGUAAAGGGCAAACAGACAAAUCUCUUGGCAAAUUGCAAGUAAGGGACAUAUAAAUGACACUGUGGCCACUGGAAGUUUCGUUCACCAAAAAAAAAAAAAAAAAAAAAAGUCAUAUUACUGAGUAGUGCAGGGUUGUCAUAAUCAUAGAAUCAUAGAAUGGAAGAGGUUUUAAAAAUCACCUAGUUUAAACACCCCUACCAUGGGCAGGCACAUUUCCCACCCAACUAGAUUGCACAAAGCCCUGUCCAGCCUGGCCUUGAAGAGUCAGACAAAGAUGAAGAGCCACGAAGGCACCAACAGGCAGAGCCCCAAAUGGAGAAGCAGUCUUAUCUCACAGAGGAAAAAAAGGCAAUUGUUUCAGCUUUCAUCUUGCUCAGCCUGCAUAUUUGGGAUUUCAUCCCACAGGUAUUCCUGGAUCAUACAAAGGAAGCAACACCCUCAAAUUAGGGUUGAAUAUCUCCUGGAACUAUUCAUCCUGGUGAGAAGCUGCUGGGCAGGAGCAUGCAGGCUCAUUACAUGCCUGAAAAAUUUAGUGUGGAGAAGAAGAGCCAGAAAAGUAGGGCAGAAAGUUGGGCUAUUCCCCCCACUCAACAUAUGCUGCUUCCUAGAAGCAAUUUCCUCUGUAUCCCACCUCCCACACACUCCCCAGCUGUGACUGGAAGUUACUACAAUGGGACAUGUGGAUGGACACUCAGAGACAGAGAGGACUGGGAAGUGUCUGAGACACAAGACUUUGAAACUUGGAAGUAGCAAUAUUGAAAAUAAGGGAUUAAGGCCAGACUUCUGAUGCUUAGAGCUGUCUGGGAGUCAGAAAGGAUGAGCUUGCAGGGGAUGGCAAAGAUAAUUUAAUAAGGGGCUUCGAGAGGAAAUGAUACUAAGAGGAAGGAUCAAAGAAGCCUACUGGAAUACAGGGAGAAGAAGGAAAUGGACAAGAACUUGAUUCCCAGUGAAGGGUCAGUGAUCAAGAGGGUGGUGAAAGUCAGAUAGGAGCUGUGGUGAAGCAGAAGAGAGCCCUGGCUGGGGAAGAGCUACAGAUGUGAGGAAGGAGUCCCUACAGAAUGAUGGUGCUCAUCCGAAUGGGUCCUGAAUGAUUCUCCAAACCUUCAGUUCUGCUGGGCUUCCUGUAGGCCCACAAUUUCUGCUUCAAACCUACCAACACCAUAACUUUAACUGCGUUCAUUUUGCUCUCUGACAGCUCUGGUUUCAGUAUUAACAGUCUAAAUUGUUUUAGUUCCCCUCAAUCUUUCUGUUCAACCUCCAAAACCAGCUAAUUCCUUGUGUGAAGGAGAAUUGGCUUUUUUAAAAAGUUUCCUAUUAUUUUUUCCCAGAAGUGUCCAUUCAAUUUUCAGCUAAACUGGAAGGCAAUUUUUUGCAUGAGAGCUUUACAUAGAUAGGCUUAAAGCAGAACAAAAAUAAAUAAAUAACUAUACUAAAUUACCUCCUCCUCCCCCACCAUGUCUUAAUGAAGUGCUGUUUUAUGUAAGUUAUUUCAAGAGAAAUGAAGUAUUUUGGGGCAGGCAAGCGAUCAACAUUUAUUUAGGUUUCCAAGAAUGUUGCAAUUCCCUCUGAAUCUUCUGGGUCUUGCAUGGAGGCAAGUUUUCCCCAGGUAAAGACUGAGGAUACACAACUUUCUUGGGUGAAGGCUGUCUUGGGGUCUUCAGGCUGUGCUUGGGAAUGUUUUUAGGGGCUGCACUGUGCACUUGCCUCUGGUAAUUUCUCCAAGGUUUGUGUGUUGAAGCAGUGCUGUCUGUCAGUGGUUUGUGUGGCAGCAGGAUGGCGUAGGCAGAAAAAUCACUCUGAUUUUCUGUGCUGGCCUCAAAAUAACCCCAUAAAUGCACCUUCCAGAAAUCUGCAAGGGUAGACUUAUUUUCCAGGCAACUGCUCCUCCUCCCAUCUGAACUGCCCUUCAGCAGUGCAGGCAGGCUUGGCCCUCAGAAGGUGCUGCUCUGCAGCUCAGAGGAAAGACAUUUUGAUGGCAUUUGUGUUGUUACUAUUAUUUAAAACAGCUAAUUUUAAUUUCUGCUAAUGUCACAGAAGGACAGCAUGAGCAGAAAACAAUCUGGUGGUCUAUGUUGAAUUGAUUUCUAUUUUUCUGGCAGACUUUUUUUUACACUAUGCACCAAUCUAUGUUUGCUUAGUCUGGGGCUUCUUUUGCAUCCUGUGAGUCCUAUUUGCCAUUUUGCAAGUGAAUUGAUGGUUCUCAACCUUCUCUAAACUGCAGUCUCCUCUUCUCCAAACCAAAAUUCACCAUUUUCUCCUGCUGGGAACAAGCCAAGUUACUCCUUAAGGGAGAAUCUGGUGAGAGCAAGGAAGCUGUGAUCUCUGCCUGCCCAUCCCACCUCCACUGGCUCCAGCUCAGAGGAUGAGGAACUCUGAUCUGAGUUUAGGCCAAGGUAGGGUCCCUGCUUGUCCCCUACCUGCCACACCAUGUGCAUUGAGCUACCCUGGAAGGGGAUGACUGAUAGAGUGUUAGUCACACUUACAUGAAGAGUUUUUAAAUAAAGAAAUUGCAGUGAGGUCCAGGGACCUGUUAAAGUGCUGAGGUAUUUACCCUCCCCAGACCUUCCCUUCCUUCCUGCCCUGCUUUGGCCCUUCCUCUCUCCCCAGCCUUGAAAUGAAACAGAAAAUUAUUUUUUUAAAACUGUGUCGAUAAUUUAUGUUUAGUAUAAAGGAUGAUUUAAUGGCAUCACCAAAGGUCAUUUUUUUCAUCUCCGUGUUACUAUCCCAGCCCCAGAGGCUGUGCAUCCCCUCUCUCCCAUAACUCCACUGCCCUCCCUUCCAUUCACCUCACACAUCCUUUGUCACCACCCCACCCCAGCGUUCCACGCAGCCGACACCUGCUUCAGGUUCCGCCAAUGGCCGAUGGAGAACAGAGAUUUCAAAGCGAAACCUCCACUCCCGACCACCCCGAACUGAAACCAUUUUCCACUUUGAAAACAGUCAGUUGCUGCAGAUGACAGGCAGACUCAUUUCUUGAACUAAGUAAGGUUUUUUUUAAAGCCUUUUAUACCUAUUUACGUGUGCGCGUGCGUGCACCGAGUGUGCACAGUGGUACCUGUGUGCACAGAUGCACACGGAUCUCUCUCUCAAGUAUAAAUAUAUUGUAUGUUAGAGCUGUAAAUACUCUUUGGUCAUGUGUCUAUGUCUUCUUCAAAGUAUCAUAUCCUCAGUGUUACGUUAACAACUCCAUUUAUUGAUUGAUGAAACUAUGUGUAGACCUGUACCCUCCUGACAUAGUUUAUGUAGCUCUCUCUUCUCAAAUAAAGUACAAAACUACCACCA